Molecule: ribosomal RNA, 208 nt
Filed under: uncultured bacterium
Lineage: Bacteria
Description: partial 16S ribosomal RNA
Rfam family: Bacterial small subunit ribosomal RNA
Source: RNAcentral
GCCUCCCUCCGCCGCCAUCAGACUCCUACGGGAGACAGCAGUGGGGAAUUUUGGCGUCAAUGGGGGAAAACCCUGGAACGCAGCAACGCCGCGUGGAGGAUGAAAUAUACUUGGUAUGUAAACUCCUUUACGAUUGGGGAAGAGUAAAUGAACGGUACCCAUACGAAGAAGCCCCGGCUAACCUUCGUGCCAGCAGCCGCGGUAAUUC